RNAcentral lists this transfer RNA (72 nucleotides) under Myxococcales bacterium. Its description in RNAcentral is "tRNA-Gln". It matches the Rfam family "tRNA". From Rfam's summary of the family: Transfer RNA (tRNA) molecules are approximately 80 nucleotides in length. Their secondary structure includes four short double-helical elements and three loops (D, anti-codon, and T loops). Further hydrogen bonds mediate the characteristic L-shaped molecular structure. tRNAs have two regions of fundamental functional importance: the anti-codon, which is responsible for specific mRNA codon recognition, and the 3' end, to which the tRNAs corresponding amino acid is attached (by aminoacyl-tRNA synthetases). tRNAs cope with the degeneracy of the genetic code in two manners: having more than one tRNA (with a specific anti-codon) for a particular amino acid; and 'wobble' base-pairing, i.e. permitting non-standard base-pairing at the 3rd anti-codon position. The record is from RNAcentral. RNAcentral also lists the same sequence under 1 other name. Lineage: Bacteria; Pseudomonadati; Myxococcota; Myxococcia; Myxococcales.
UCCGGGAUCGUCCAAUCGGCAGGACGCUGGUCUCUGAAGCCAGAAAUACAGGUUCGAGCCCUGUGCCCGGAA